GAGUAGCACAAGUUCGGUUCCUAAGAGCACAUGGAAACCGAAUUAGCCUAAGAAGGAGGAUAAAGCUUUUUCUAAGCUUAAGCAUGAAGAAAAUAAGAGUAAGCCUCAUGUGGAUAAUAAAGAUAAAAGAAUGAACUCUUCCCAAUCUCAAAGAAAUAGGGAUAUAAAGUGCUUUAGAUGUUUGAGGAUAGGUAAUAUUGCUUCACAAUGCCCCAAUA
RNAcentral lists this unclassified non-coding RNA (218 nucleotides) under Hevea brasiliensis (rubber tree). The record is from RNAcentral. Lineage: Eukaryota; Viridiplantae; Streptophyta; Magnoliopsida; Malpighiales; Euphorbiaceae.